Molecule: ribosomal RNA, 484 nt
Filed under: uncultured bacterium
Lineage: Bacteria
Description: partial 16S ribosomal RNA
Rfam family: Bacterial small subunit ribosomal RNA
Source: RNAcentral
GGGGGGGGGGGGGGGGGGGGCUGGGGCGGGGGGGGGGGGGGGGGGGGGGGGGCUGGCGCGGGGAGGCAGCGGGGGGCGGGGGGGUGAUGCCUGGGAGGCUGGCUGGGGGGGGGGGGGGGCGUGCGGAGACGGGCGCUGAUACCGCGUACGUCCUGCGGGGGAGAGUGGGGGAUGUUCGGACCUCACGCUAUCACAUGAGCCUAGGUCGGAGUAGCUAGUUGGUGGGGUAAAGGACUACCAAGGGGACGAUCCGUACCUGGUCGGAGGGGAUGAUCAGUCACACUGGAACUGAGACACGGUCCAGACUCCUACGGGAGGAAGCAGUGGGGAAUAUUGGACAAUGGGCGAAAGCCUGAUCCAGCCAUGCCGCGUGUGUGAAGAAGGUCUUCGGAUUGUAAAGCACUUUAAGUUGGGAGGAAGGGCAGUAAGUUAAUACCUUGCUGUUUUGACGGUACCAAAAGAAUAAGCACCGGCUAACUUCGUG